This is a non-coding RNA of Schizosaccharomyces pombe (fission yeast), 565 nucleotides long. The record is from the annotation of a GenBank genome assembly. Lineage: Eukaryota; Fungi; Ascomycota; Schizosaccharomycetes; Schizosaccharomycetales; Schizosaccharomycetaceae.
CUAAAGCACAACCUGCUUGCUUACAGCCCUUGACGACACCUUCAACGAAACUAGUAGAAACCUUCAAAUCUAAUGAACCGGUAGCAAAAUAAUCCAAAAAUAUCAAAGGCUCAGCACCCUGAACAACCAAGUCAUUGACGUUCAUUGCUACUAAAUCAAUUCCAACAGUAUCAUGCUUAUUAAGGCUAAGAGCAAUUAACAACUUUGAACCGACACCGUCAGUAGCACUAACCAACAAUGGAUCAUUCCAGCCAGCUUGUUUGAGGUCAAAAAUACCGCCAAAACCACCGAUGUCAGCAUCUGCACCAGGACGACGUGUAGAUUUGACCAAAUCCUUGAUACGUUGAACAAAUUCAUUGCCAUUAUCAACUGAGACGCCUGAAUUCUCAUAAGUAAGGAUUUCGCGUGUCUUUCUCUUAGGAUUAAGAGCAUGGUGGGCAAUAUCUUUACGGUAGAACAUCUUAUCAAAAUGAACAGUUUUCACACCUUCGUAAGCUAAUCUAACAGCAGCCUCAACUGAAUCUCCCGUAGCCUCCACAGCAAGUACACGUCCUCCAUUGGUAAC